This 373-nucleotide ribosomal RNA is filed under the name uncultured organism. RNAcentral describes it as "partial 16S ribosomal RNA". It matches the Rfam family "Bacterial small subunit ribosomal RNA", at positions 527 to 896 of the family's 1533-position model. The record is from RNAcentral.
GGAGGGAGCGAACGUUGUUCGGAUUUACUGGGCGUAAAGGGCGCGUAGGCGGUUUUGUAAGUCAGAGGUGAAAUGUCUCGGCUCAACCGAGGACCUGCCUUUGAAACUGCAGAACUUGAGAUCGUGAGAGGAGACUGGAAUUCCUAGUGUAGCGGUGAAAUGCAUAGAUAUUAGGAAGAACACCAGUGGCGAAGGCGAGUCUCUGGCACGAUACUGACGCUGAGGCGCGAAAGCUAGGGGGAGCGAACGGGAUUAGAUACCCCGGUAGUCCUAGCCGUAAACGAUGGGUACUAAGUGUUGGCCCGAUCGACCCGGUCAGUGCUGUAGCUAACGCGUUAAGUACCCCGCCUGGGGGAGUACGACCGCAAGGUUG